Molecule: ribosomal RNA, 491 nt
Filed under: uncultured bacterium
Lineage: Bacteria
Description: partial 16S ribosomal RNA
Rfam family: Bacterial small subunit ribosomal RNA
Source: RNAcentral
GUGAACGCUGGCGGUAGGCCUAACACAUGCAGGUCGAACGGCAGCACAGUAAGAGCUUGCUCUUACGGGUGGCGAGUGGCGGACGGGUGAGGAAUACAUCGGAAUCUACUUUUUCGUGGGGGAUAACGUAGGGAAACUUACGCUAAUACCGCAUACGACCUACGGGUGAAAGCAGGGGAUCUUCGGACCUUGCGCGAUUGAAUGAGCCGAUGUCGGAUUAGCUAGUUGGCGGGGUAAAGGCCCACCAAGGCGACGAUCCGUAGCUGGUCUGAGAGGAUGAUCAGCCACACUGGAACUGAGACACGAUCCAGACUCCUACGGGAGGCAGCAGUGGGGAAUAUUGGACAAUGGGCGCAAGCCUGAUCCAGCCAUACCGCGUGGGUGAAGAAGGCCUUCGGGUUGUAAAGCCCUUUUGUUGGGAAAGAAAAGCAGCAGGUUAAUACCCCGCUGUUCUGACGGUACCCAAAGAAUAAGCACCGGCUAACUUCGUG